CCUGAAAAGAAGACAUUAUUGACCAAAGGAAUGGCUGCUACCUUGAAAAUUCCCAGUGCCUCUGUACCUGCUCUACAUUGGCCACUGCACAUCUUCAUCUCAUUAAGAUUUCCUGCUAAGAAACAACACCGUUGAGCUACAAAAGCUGAUCAGUGGUCUAAGAUUCAAGCCCUGCGUAAGACAAUGGUGAUAUGGAGAAAAUGAACGGGGAAAGGAAGGGGCAACAUCAACAUACUGAGGCGAGAGUGUCACCAAAUAAAAAUACCCUGGAAUAUUGAGCCGCUAUUGAAAAUGGCUACCUUGAAAUUUACCAAAAC
Molecule: long non-coding RNA, 317 nt
Organism: Fukomys damarensis (Damara mole-rat)
Lineage: Eukaryota; Metazoa; Chordata; Mammalia; Rodentia; Bathyergidae
Exons: 3
Source: RefSeq, a predicted model, not a curated record